Molecule: small nuclear RNA, 107 nt
Organism: Suncus etruscus (white-toothed pygmy shrew)
Lineage: Eukaryota; Metazoa; Chordata; Mammalia; Eulipotyphla; Soricidae
Source: RefSeq, a predicted model, not a curated record
GUAUUCACUUUGGCAGCACAUAUGCUAAAAUUGUAAUGAUACAAAGAAAAUUAACGUGGCUCCUGUGCAAUUUUGACAUACAAAUGGAUGAAGUGUUCCAUAUUUAA